RNAcentral lists this long non-coding RNA (612 nucleotides) under Nicotiana benthamiana. RNAcentral's name for it is "long non-coding RNA (NBEN_LNC013300)". Lineage: Eukaryota; Viridiplantae; Streptophyta; Magnoliopsida; Solanales; Solanaceae. The record is from RNAcentral.
CUUGCAAAGGCUGUUGCGCAUCACACGACUGCAUCCUUCAUAAGGGUUGUUGGCUCGGAAUUUGUUCAGAAGUACUUGGGUGAGGUAAGCAUUGAAAUCUUGAAAUGCCCUGAGCCUUGAUAUUUUAUGUGUUAAUCUGCUGUUACCAUCUAUUACUCAUGACUGUUGAACUCUUCCAGUUGCAUCCAUUCAAACAAAAACUUCGCAUUUAAAGUCUUUCCGGUUCUGUCUCAUGAAGGGGGAUUUGGAAGAAAAGCAACUUUUUUUUGCGUGAGAGGUCCCAUUUUCCUUUUAAAUGACAUAAGCAGUCGAGCCUUGAUAUUGUAUGUGUUAAUCUGUUGUUAUCACCUAUUACUGAUGACUGUUGAACUCUUCCAGUUGCAUCCAUUCAAACAAAAACUUGGCAUUUAAAGUCUUCCCGGUUCUGUCUCAUAAAGGGGGAUUUGGAAGAAAAGCAACCUUUUUUGCAUGAGAGGUCCCAUUUUCCUUUUAAAUGACAUAAGCAGUAGCUAAUGCAAGAGCAACAGAAAUACUCCUACUAUGGUCUUGUUUAGGCAAUUAACAUUGUUGCCCCGGGAACACGUUUAAAAGGUUAGAAUCAUGUUUGGAGCU